This 119-nucleotide ribosomal RNA is filed under the name Thermoanaerobacter pseudethanolicus ATCC 33223. Lineage: Bacteria; Bacillati; Bacillota; Clostridia; Thermoanaerobacterales; Thermoanaerobacteraceae. The record is from RNAcentral. RNAcentral also lists the same sequence under 2 other names.
UCCGGUGGCGAUAGCGGAGGGGAAACACCCGUUCCCAUUCCGAACACGGUCCACAAGGGGCCCCCAGACGGUCGCAAGACCGGCUGGGGUGCUAGUUAAGCCCUCCAGCGCCGAUGGUA